RNAcentral lists this ribosomal RNA (875 nucleotides) under uncultured archaeon. RNAcentral's name for it is "bacterial SSU rRNA". It matches the Rfam family "Archaeal small subunit ribosomal RNA", at positions 21 to 903 of the family's 1478-position model. The record is from RNAcentral.
CCUGACUGCUAUCGGAUUGAUACUAAGCCAUGUGAGUCAUUGUAGCAAUACAAGGCAGACGGCUCAGUAACACGUAGCCAAUCUACCCUAUGGACGGGGAUAACCUCGGGAAACUGAGGAUAAACCCCGAUAGAUCAUUAUGCCUGGAAAGGUUUAUGGUUAAAAUGAUUCGUCGCCGUAGGAUGGGACUGCGGCCUAUCAGCUUGUUGGUGAGGUAAUGGCCCACCAAGGCUAUUACAGGUACGGGCUCUGAGAGGAGAAGCCCGGAGAUGGGUACUGAGACACGGACCCAGGCCCUAUGGGGCGCAGCAGGCGAGAAAACUUUGCAAUGUGCGAAAGCACGACAAGGUUAAUCCGAGUGGUUCCUGCUAAAGGAAUCUUUUGUUAGUCAUAAUACCACUGAUGAAUAAGGGGUGGGCAAGUUCUGGUGUCAGCCGCCGCGGUAAAACCAGCACCUCAAGUGGUCAGGAGGAUUAUUGGGCCUAAAGCAUCCGUAGCCGGCUUUGUUAGUUUUCGGUUAAAUCCAUAUGCUCAACGUAUGGGCUGCCGGGAAUACUACACAGCUAGGGAGUGGGAGAGGUAGACGGUACUCCGUAGGAAGGGGUAAAAUCCUUUGAUCUAUGGAUGACCACCUGUGGCGAAGGCGGUCUACCAGAACACGUCCGACGGUGAGGGAUGAAAGCUGGGGGAGCAAACCGGAUUAGAUACCCGGGUAGUCCCAGCUGUAAACAAUGCAAACUCAGUGAUGCAUUGGCUUGUGGCCAGUGCAGUGCCGCAGGGAAGCCGUUAAGUUUGCCGCCUGGGAAGUACGUACGCAAGUAUGAAACUUAAAGGAAUUGGCGGGGGAGCACCACAAGGGGUGAAGCCUGCGGUUC